GUGCCAGCCGCCGCGGUAAUACGUAGGGUGCGAGCGUUAAUCGGAAUUACUGGGCGUAAAGCGUGCGCAGGCGGUUAUACAAGACAGGCGUGAAAUCCCCGGGCUUAACCUGGGAAUGGCGCCUGUGACUGUAUAGCUAGAGUGUGUCAGAGGGGGGUAGAAUUCCACGUGUAGCAGUGAAAUGCGUAGAUAUGUGGAGGAAUACCAAUGGCGAAGGCAGCCCCCUGGGAUAACACUGACGCUCAUGCACGAAAGCGUGGGGAGCAAACAGGAUUAGAUACCCUGGUAGUCCACGCCCUAAACGAUGCUGACUAGUUGUUCGGGAUUUACAUCCUGAGUAACGUAGCUAACGCGUGAAGUCAGCCGCCUGGGGAGUACGGUCGCAAGAUUAAAACUCAAAUGAAUUGGCGG
RNAcentral lists this ribosomal RNA (411 nucleotides) under uncultured bacterium. RNAcentral's name for it is "bacterial SSU rRNA". It matches the Rfam family "Bacterial small subunit ribosomal RNA", at positions 505 to 916 of the family's 1533-position model. The record is from RNAcentral.